GAGUGGAAAACACGUAAUUCAGACCGAGGCAGAAGAAUCUUUUGAUGACUUGGGUAGCUUUUUGGUUUUUCAUGUCCUCAUAUGCUACUACAACACAAACGUAGAGUAAAGUGACUUGAGAACACAAGUUUUGAUGAAAAGCUACCCCGUAGACUCCACGAGGCCCGCAGGAGGGGGCGAUGCCUCAAAUCACACGAAAGAUGGUCUAGAGAAUUUGGAAUCUUGGAUGAUGUCAUAAAAUGUGUACAUAAAGAUGGUUUUAAGAGGAAAACAAAAUCCAAGUAUCUGAUGUUGCACUUCCUUCGCAAACUAGACGAACCCGCACGCAAGUUCCAGACUUAUGGGGAAAAGUCGCAAUUCGGACGGACGGAGCAAAAUUCUUUAAGAAAUUGGGUAGAUUUUUGGUUUUUCAUGUUCAAAUGUCCUAAUAGAACAAAAAGGAAGAGUAAAGUGACUUGAGAACACAAGUUUUGCUGAAAAGCUACCCCGUAGACGCCACGAGGCCCGUAGGAGAGGGCGAUGCCUGAAAUCACACGACAAACUGUCCAGAGAACUUGAAAUAUUUCAUGAUGUCAUCAAAUGGGUACAUAAAUAUGGUGUUAAGAGGAAAACACAAUCCAAGUAUCUGAGGUUGCACAUCCUUCACAAACUAGACUAACCUGCACGAACGUUCUGCAAUUAAAGGGGGAAAAGUCGCAAUUCGGACAGACGGAGCCGAAUCCGUUGAGGACUUGGGUAGAUGUUUGUUUUUUCAUGUUGGCAUAUCCUAAUACAACACUAUGAUAGAGUAAAGUGGUAUGAAAACCCAAGUUUUGGUGAAAAGCUAGCCCGCAGACGCCACGAGGCCCACAGGAGAGGGUGAUGUCUGAUUUAGAAUCGACGCAGCUGAAAUUAGCGAGGACUUGAAUUAAAUUUUUGGUUUUCCAGUCUUUCGGAGGUGCUCAUAGGGGUAGUAUGUGUAUGUGUGCGUUCAUAGGGGUGAGUGUAUGCACGUGUUGUGAGCGUCUGCGUUUGUACUGUGUUUCUAAAAAAAAACUGGAAAAAAAAAUGGAAAGGUCCUUUGCCGGCGGCUUUCUAUCGGGCUGCCGGCAAAGGGUGCCUAAAAAAACAAAACACCCCGCCCCCCACCCCUUCUUUCUCACUCUCUCUCUCUCUCUCGUGUUCUCUCCUCGCGCCCGACCGCCGCCUUCCGUCGCCGCUGCCGCCGCCCCCGUCCCCGCCCCUCG
Molecule: long non-coding RNA, 1226 nt
Filed under: Brachypodium distachyon (stiff brome)
Lineage: Eukaryota; Viridiplantae; Streptophyta; Magnoliopsida; Poales; Poaceae
Description: long non-coding RNA (BDIS_LNC003371)
Source: RNAcentral